RNAcentral lists this long non-coding RNA (917 nucleotides) under Monodelphis domestica (gray short-tailed opossum). RNAcentral describes it as "lncRNA (ENSMODG00000037085.1)". The record is from RNAcentral. Lineage: Eukaryota; Metazoa; Chordata; Mammalia; Didelphimorphia; Didelphidae.
GGUGAAAUUACAGGGUUGUAUUGAUUUGCAUUUCUCUUAUUAUUAAUGAUUAAGAACAUUCAUGUGGUUGUUAAUAAUUUGUGAUUCUCUUGAGAAUUAUUUGUUCAUACACAAUGGGAUUUGAAUGUAUCAAUGAGAUGUACCUAUGCCUUGAUCCCUUUUUGAGGCGUGAAUAUUUCUUUGAUUAGGUCAAGAAAGGAAUAGCCUUGAAUGACUGAGUAAAGAAGUUAACCCCUUCUUUAUGGACUUUAAAGGUCUGGAUCCUGGAUAAGCUUCAGAAUUCAGGAGUUGGAGGAAAUUGUGGAGGAGACCCCUGUGACUAUGCCAGAGGGCAACAAGUAGAGAAAGGGGAUUUCCCUUCCCCCUACCCUGGACUAUGUCAUCUGACCUACUGAGCAAGUAAAAAUCUCUGUAUCCAAUAAGAGGACAGAAACACACAGAUCAGACAUCUAAAAACAUAGAGACAUGGACAAAGUAGCUUGAGGGAAGAACCAGUUUCCAGGCAUAUGACUACUGACAAUCAAGAGACAGACCCUAGAAAGGAAUAGAACCUGGCAGCCCAGCUGGAAAACCUGCCCAGCAGUUACACUGUGACAAAGAGGAGCUACAUGAGUACUCUGCAAAGAAAGAAAAGGAUUCUAGGAUGCUCAGGACCAAGGGCUGUUCACUGUCUUUGACCUGCGUAUAUCCUACAAGGGUCCUUUGCUACCACUGUCCUCUGUUUGAGCCCAAUCUUCCCAUGGAUACUACAUUUGGAGCAUCAAUCAAUCAUUACAACACUCAAAAAGAAAUAUACCAACAUCCUGCAACAAUCAUGCAGAAAAAUGAAGUCAAGAUUUCAGGGACUUGUAAUUGUUCCAGCAACUCUUUCCCCCAAGAUUCCCAUAGAGUUAUGAGCAUGAAAAUAGGUGUGAACA